CGGGGCUUAAUGUCUUGUAAUUGGAAUGAUGGGAAUUUAAACCUCUUCCAGAGUAUCAAUUGGAGGGCAAGUCUGGUGCCAGCAGCCGCGGUAAUUCCAGCUCCAAUAGCGUAUAUUAAAUUUGUUGCAGUUAAAAAGCUCGUAGUUGAAUUUCUGCUGCAUUACAUUUCUCUUGUUUGGGUUUGUUAUUGUGGCUUAUUUCGGAUUGAUUUUUAUCUUUCCGGAUGAUUACUUUGAGAAAAUUAGAGUGCUCAAAGCAGGCUUUUGCCUUGAAUAGUUUAGCAUGGAAUAAUAGAGUAGGACUUUGGUUCUAUUUUGUUGGUUUUAGGUACCAAAGUAAUGGUUAAUAGGAACAGUUGGGGGCAUUCGUAUUUAACUGUCAGAGGUGAAAUUCUUAGAUUUGUUAAAGACGAACUACUGCGAAAGCAUUUGCCAAGGAUGUUUUCAUUAAUCAAGAAC
RNAcentral lists this ribosomal RNA (459 nucleotides) under Theileria orientalis. Its description in RNAcentral is "SSU rRNA". It matches the Rfam family "Eukaryotic small subunit ribosomal RNA", at positions 486 to 984 of the family's 1831-position model. The record is from RNAcentral. Lineage: Eukaryota; Apicomplexa; Aconoidasida; Piroplasmida; Theileriidae.